Ictidomys tridecemlineatus (thirteen-lined ground squirrel) is the source of this 618-nucleotide non-coding RNA. The record is from RefSeq and is a predicted model, not a curated record. Lineage: Eukaryota; Metazoa; Chordata; Mammalia; Rodentia; Sciuridae.
CAUCGUGAACUUUUUUCUUUUUAAAAAACAUUUUUAUAUGAUUUUAAAUUUGCAGAAAGCUUGCAAGAAGAGUGCCGAGAACUCCCCACCUGUUCUCCUUCUCGGGCUCCUCCUCCACCUCCUCCCUCCUUCACAGUUUUUCUUUCUGAGCCUGAGUAGGCUGCUGGAUCAUACAUUAGGAUCUGACCCUCCGCCAGCCCCGGCUCUGUUUCCAAGAGGCCACCUGCUGCGUGUCAACGUGGCCAGCGGCCCCCAAGGUUGCUGUUGAUCAAUGUCGGCUGCAGGCGGGUCCUGGUGGCCAAGGCCUGGUCUGUGUCCUGGAAAAGGGGGACUGCAGGAGACAGGUGGGGGUCUCAGCUGCCCAAGCAGCGGCAGACGCAGGCUGGACAUCACUUAUUUAACCUGGAAAAGCAAGCCCCUUGGUGUGGCAGAGCUUGGUCGCUCUCCUGGAAAGACGGAAAAUGCUGACAAAGCCACCAGCCGGGAAAGAACAGCCGGGCCACCAGGACACCGCGUUCUCUUUGUCACUUAGGAUUGCUAUUUACUAUGAAGAUUUUUAUACUCUUUUGUGUAGUCUUAAAAAGGAAAAAAAUAAGAAAAAUAAACUUUAGUAUUCAG